CCCUUCCUACGGGGGGCAGCAGUGAGGAAUAUUGGUCAAUGGGCUAAGGCCUGAACCAGCCAAGUCGCGUGAGGGAAGACGGUCCUAUGGAUUGUAAACCUCUUUUGUCGGGGAGCAACGAGGCCACGUGUGGCCGAAGUGAGAGUACCCGAGGAAAAAGCAUCGGCUAACUCCGUGCCAGCAGCCGCGGUAAUACGGAGGAUGCGAGCGUUAUCCGGAUUUAUUGGGUUUAAAGGGUGCGUAGGCGGGUUUUUAAGUCAGUGGUAAAAAUUCGGGGCUCAACCCCGUCCGGCCUUUGAA
Molecule: ribosomal RNA, 300 nt
Filed under: uncultured bacterium
Lineage: Bacteria
Description: bacterial SSU rRNA
Rfam family: Bacterial small subunit ribosomal RNA
Source: RNAcentral